GCUGGUGUAGCUCAGUUGGUAGAGCAACGCACUUGUAAUGCGUGGGUCGCGGGUUCGACUCCUGUCACCAGCU
RNAcentral lists this transfer RNA (73 nucleotides) under Oxynema acuminatum PCC 6304. Its description in RNAcentral is "tRNA-Thr (TGT) (tRNA-Thr-TGT-1-1)". It matches the Rfam family "tRNA". Rfam says of the family: Transfer RNA (tRNA) molecules are approximately 80 nucleotides in length. Their secondary structure includes four short double-helical elements and three loops (D, anti-codon, and T loops). Further hydrogen bonds mediate the characteristic L-shaped molecular structure. tRNAs have two regions of fundamental functional importance: the anti-codon, which is responsible for specific mRNA codon recognition, and the 3' end, to which the tRNAs corresponding amino acid is attached (by aminoacyl-tRNA synthetases). tRNAs cope with the degeneracy of the genetic code in two manners: having more than one tRNA (with a specific anti-codon) for a particular amino acid; and 'wobble' base-pairing, i.e. permitting non-standard base-pairing at the 3rd anti-codon position. RNAcentral also lists the same sequence under 6 other names. The record is from Rfam by way of RNAcentral. Lineage: Bacteria; Bacillati; Cyanobacteriota; Cyanophyceae; Oscillatoriales; Oscillatoriaceae.